AGCUCUCGUAAUACAUAGAAUUAUUGUUGCGGUUAAAAAGUUCGUAGUUGAUUAGCGAACCGUUCGGGGUGCAUCCUAACGGGUGUCACUCGUCGGACGGUAUUUUGUGCGUUUGUGUGCGGCGGCUUUCGGGUCGCUCGUAUGCUGCGUGCAGGAUUACUUUGAACGGCUUAAGUGCUCAAGGCGGGUCUUACGACCGAAUACCGGUGCAUGGAAUAAUGGAACAAGGUUGCGGCCGAGUUUUAUUGGUUUUGUCGGCUGAAACAAUGGUUAACAGGAACAGCCGGGGGCAUUCGUAUCGCUGCGCGAGAGGUGAAAUUCGGGGACCGUAGCGAGACGCACUAAAGCGAAGGCAUUUGCCAAGAGUGUUUUCA
This 374-nucleotide ribosomal RNA is filed under the name marine Metazoa environmental sample. RNAcentral describes it as "SSU rRNA". It matches the Rfam family "Eukaryotic small subunit ribosomal RNA", at positions 587 to 972 of the family's 1831-position model. The record is from RNAcentral. Lineage: Eukaryota; Metazoa.